AGAAAAGCUAUGAUAAGAAACAGUAGAUAAAUCUGCGUCACAGAGAAAGAGCGGUUGGUGCAAGCUCCCGACAAGGUUUUAUCGAACCCGUCUUUGAGCUGUACACGAUGAGUGUUACCGGUUUCUCCCGUUACAGAGAUACAAGUGCGGUUAUACCGAAUUUAGGUGGUACCACGGAACAAUGUUUCGCCCUAAGC
RNAcentral lists this non-coding RNA (197 nucleotides) under [Eubacterium] siraeum. RNAcentral's name for it is "Eubacterium siraeum T-box sequence". It matches the Rfam family "T-box leader". From Rfam's summary of the family: Uncharged tRNA acts as the effector for transcription antitermination of genes in the T-box leader family. Lineage: Bacteria; Bacillati; Bacillota; Clostridia; Eubacteriales; Oscillospiraceae. The record is from RNAcentral.